CUAUUAAUAUAAAUUAUUUUUUAAUUAUAUAAUAAAAAUAUAUGAAAAUUCAUUAAGGGUAACUAUGACAUCAAUCAAUUUAACUUUUAACGUGAGCGCUCUAUUGCAAAAAAUCACUUCACAAAAAAUAGUAUAGAUAGAUUAAUUCGUUCACACAAUAAUUUUUUAAUUCCACCGUAGAAAAUUUAAUGUCUUCACAUUAAUUUGUUUUUAAUCAGCUCAUUUUAGCUCCUCAAUUUUUAACCUUCGUAUUAGUGAAUUGAAAUUAUAUCUGUUCAACUACAGAAUAAUAUCAUUUUGAAAGAAAUAAAUUAUAAAAUAAUAAGAUUCGCAGCAACUAAACUGCUGGAAUGAGAAUGUUUUUGGAA
Molecule: long non-coding RNA, 368 nt
Filed under: Brassica napus (rape)
Lineage: Eukaryota; Viridiplantae; Streptophyta; Magnoliopsida; Brassicales; Brassicaceae
Description: long non-coding RNA (BNAP_LNC000401)
Source: RNAcentral